This 2921-nucleotide ribosomal RNA is filed under the name Staphylococcus aureus. Its description in RNAcentral is "bacterial LSU rRNA". It matches the Rfam family "Bacterial large subunit ribosomal RNA". Lineage: Bacteria; Bacillati; Bacillota; Bacilli; Caryophanales; Staphylococcaceae. The record is from RNAcentral.
UUAAGUUAUUAAGGGCGUACGGUGGAUGCCUUGGCACUAGAAGCCGAUGAAGGACGUUACUAACGACGAUAUGCUUUGGGGAGCUGUAAGUAAGCUUUGAUCCAGAGAUUUCCGAAUGGGGAAACCCAGCAUGAGUUAUGUCAUGUUAUCGAUAUGUGAAUACAUAGCAUAUCAGAAGGCACACCCGGAGAACUGAAACAUCUUAGUACCCGGAGGAAGAGAAAGAAAAUUCGAUUCCCUUAGUAGCGGCGAGCGAAACGGGAAGAGCCCAAACCAACAAGCUUGCUUGUUGGGGUUGUAGGACACUCUGUACGGAGUUACAAAGGACGACAUUAGACGAAUCAUCUGGAAAGAUGAAUCAAAGAAGGUAAUAAUCCUGUAGUCGAAAAUGUUGUCUCUCUUGAGUGGAUCCUGAGUACGACGGAGCACGUGAAAUUCCGUCGGAAUCUGGGAGGACCAUCUCCUAAGGCUAAAUACUCUCUAGUGACCGAUAGUGAACCAGUACCGUGAGGGAAAGGUGAAAAGCACCCCGGAAGGGGAGUGAAAUAGAACCUGAAACCGUGUGCUUACAAGUAGUCAGAGCCCGUUAAUGGGUGAUGGCGUGCCUUUUGUAGAAUGAACCGGCGAGUUACGAUUUGAUGCAAGGUUAAGCAGUAAAUGUGGAGCCGUAGCGAAAGCGAGUCUGAAUAGGGCGUUUAGUAUUUGGUCGUAGACCCGAAACCAGGUGAUCUACCCUUGGUCAGGUUGAAGUUCAGGUAACACUGAAUGGAGGACCGAACCGACUUACGUUGAAAAGUGAGCGGAUGAACUGAGGGUAGCGGAGAAAUUCCAAUCGAACCUGGAGAUAGCUGGUUCUCUCCGAAAUAGCUUUAGGGCUAGCCUCAAGUGAUGAUUAUUGGAGGUAGAGCACUGUUUGGACGAGGGGCCCCUCUCGGGUUACCGAAUUCAGACAAACUCCGAAUGCCAAUUAAUUUAACUUGGGAGUCAGAACAUGGGUGAUAAGGUCCGUGUUCGAAAGGGAAACAGCCCAGACCACCAGCUAAGGUCCCAAAAUAUAUGUUAAGUGGAAAAGGAUGUGGCGUUGCCCAGACAACUAGGAUGUUGGCUUAGAAGCAGCCAUCAUUUAAAGAGUGCGUAAUAGCUCACUAGUCGAGUGACACUGCGCCGAAAAUGUACCGGGGCUAAACAUAUUACCGAAGCUGUGGAUUGUCCUUUGGACAAUGGUAGGAGAGCGUUCUAAGGGCGUUGAAGCAUGAUCGUAAGGACAUGUGGAGCGCUUAGAAGUGAGAAUGCCGGUGUGAGUAGCGAAAGACGGGUGAGAAUCCCGUCCACCGAUUGACUAAGGUUUCCAGAGGAAGGCUCGUCCGCUCUGGGUUAGUCGGGUCCUAAGCUGAGGCCGACAGGCGUAGGCGAUGGAUAACAGGUUGAUAUUCCUGUACCACCUAUAAUCGUUUUAAUCGAUGGGGGGACGCAGUAGGAUAGGCGAAGCGUGCGAUUGGAUUGCACGUCUAAGCAGUAAGGCUGAGUAUUAGGCAAAUCCGGUACUCGUUAAGGCUGAGCUGUGAUGGGGAGAAGACAUUGUGUCUUCGAGUCGUUGAUUUCACACUGCCGAGAAAAGCCUCUAGAUAGAAAAUAGGUGCCCGUACCGCAAACCGACACAGGUAGUCAAGAUGAGAAUUCUAAGGUGAGCGAGCGAACUCUCGUUAAGGAACUCGGCAAAAUGACCCCGUAACUUCGGGAGAAGGGGUGCUCUUUAGGGUUAACGCCCAGAAGAGCCGCAGUGAAUAGGCCCAAGCGACUGUUUAUCAAAAACACAGGUCUCUGCUAAACCGUAAGGUGAUGUAUAGGGGCUGACGCCUGCCCGGUGCUGGAAGGUUAAGAGGAGUGGUUAGCUUCUGCGAAGCUACGAAUCGAAGCCCCAGUAAACGGCGGCCGUAACUAUAACGGUCCUAAGGUAGCGAAAUUCCUUGUCGGGUAAGUUCCGACCCGCACGAAAGGCGUAACGAUUUGGGCACUGUCUCAACGAGAGACUCGGUGAAAUCAUAGUACCUGUGAAGAUGCAGGUUACCCGCGACAGGACGGAAAGACCCCGUGGAGCUUUACUGUAGCCUGAUAUUGAAAUUCGGCACAGCUUGUACAGGAUAGGUAGGAGCCUUUGAAACGUGAGCGCUAGCUUACGUGGAGGCGCUGGUGGGAUACUACCCUAGCUGUGUUGGCUUUCUAACCCGCACCACUUAUCGUGGUGGGAGACAGUGUCAGGCGGGCAGUUUGACUGGGGCGGUCGCCUCCUAAAAGGUAACGGAGGCGCUCAAAGGUUCCCUCAGAAUGGUUGGAAAUCAUUCAUAGAGUGUAAAGGCAUAAGGGAGCUUGACUGCGAGACCUACAAGUCGAGCAGGGUCGAAAGACGGACUUAGUGAUCCGGUGGUUCCGCAUGGAAGGGCCAUCGCUCAACGGAUAAAAGCUACCCCGGGGAUAACAGGCUUAUCUCCCCCAAGAGUUCACAUCGACGGGGAGGUUUGGCACCUCGAUGUCGGCUCAUCGCAUCCUGGGGCUGUAGUCGGUCCCAAGGGUUGGGCUGUUCGCCCAUUAAAGCGGUACGCGAGCUGGGUUCAGAACGUCGUGAGACAGUUCGGUCCCUAUCCGUCGUGGGCGUAGGAAAUUUGAGAGGAGCUGUCCUUAGUACGAGAGGACCGGGAUGGACAUACCUCUGGUGUACCAGUUGUCGUGCCAACGGCAUAGCUGGGUAGCUAUGUGUGGACGGGAUAAGUGCUGAAAGCAUCUAAGCAUGAAGCCCCCCUCAAGAUGAGAUUUCCCAACUUCGGUUAUAAGAUCCCUCAAAGAUGAUGAGGUUAAUAGGUUCGAGGUGGAAGCAUGGUGACAUGUGGAGCUGACGAAUACUAAUCGAUCGAAGACUUAAUCAA